Long non-coding RNA from Macadamia integrifolia, 1342 nucleotides. RefSeq lists it as uncharacterized. The record is from RefSeq and is a predicted model, not a curated record. The transcript is spliced from 4 exons. NCBI's taxonomy places the organism in Eukaryota, Viridiplantae, Streptophyta, Magnoliopsida, Proteales, Proteaceae.
CCAACCGUUGCAUAAAUCCGAAAGCAUGACCUCCUUUUCUCCCCUUCUCUUCCUGAGAACCCUUUUCUUCUCCCUCUCAUCCUUUGCUUUCUUGUUACUUUCAUGUUGCUCCCUAUUUCACCCGUUUCAACUUGUUCUACUGCUUCUGAUGAACAAGCAGAGGCUCUGUUGAAGUGGAAAUCCAGCCUCCUCCACAACCAAACCACCCACUCUGAACUUCUACCUUCCUGAAAACUCUCCAAUUCUUCUUCUUCUUCUACUCAUUCCCACCCUUGCAUUAAUUGGGUUGGUAUUGUUUGCAAUCAGCAUGGCAGCGUCUCCAACAUAACACUACGGGAUAUGGGUUUGCAAGUGACCUCUACGGUGAAAUUCCAUCAGAGAUCGCUAUGCUUACAAGUCUUCAGUUCUUGUAUCUUGGUGGUAAUCUUCUCAGUGGUUCCAUUCCAUCGGGUCUAGGAAAGAAAUCACCUUAUCGAAUCAGGGGAAGUUUGUUGAAGAUCCUAGGAGAUGUGGAGAGGGCAACAGAGUUCGAUUGGAUCAAGAGAAUAACUGUAAUUAAAGGUGUGGCCAAUGCUCUAUCUUACAUGCACCAUGAUUGCUCCCCACCAAUAAUUCAUAGAGAUAUAUCUAGUCGCAAUAUUUUGUUGGAUUCAGAGUAUGAGGCUCGUGUGUCAAACUUCAGCAUUGCAAGGCUUCUAAUGCGUGAUUCAAGCAAUUGAACUUCUCUUGCAGGCACUUAUGGCUAUCUUGCUCCGGAGUUUGCUUAUACAAUGAGUUUGCAGAAAAGUGUGAUAUGUACAGCUUUGGUGUGGUAACGAUUGAAACAUUAAUCGAAAGGCACCCUGGUGAACUUCUUUCAUCUUUGUCACUAUCAUCGUUAUCAUUGUUGGCAACAUCAUCUACUGUGCAAACCAUGAUGUUGAAAGAUGUUUUAGAUCAACGGCUCCCUCCUCCCACAAUUGAAGUUUAUGGAGCAGUGGUUUCUAUUGUAAACAUGUCAUUUACAUGUUUGAUUAUUGAUCCACAAUCUCGCCCAACCAUGAAACAUGUGUCUCAGAAGCUAUCAUCUCACAACCCAUUUUCUAUUGAGUCAUUUCACACAAUCACAUUAGGAGAAACCUUGCAUGGGGGAAGAGUACUCAGUUAGAUGCAAACUCAUCAUCUCUCUUGGUAGAGAAAUCCAAUAUGUAAGAUAUAAUCCCAAUGAUGAUUUUUUCAAGGAAGAUAUGUGCUAAGUGGAUUUGGUUUCUUGUUGUUUUCUUUGUAAUAUUUUUUUUUGGGUAGCGUCUUCUUUAUAGUUUUACAUGCUACUAAUAAGAAGGUGGAAAUCACUUUCCAAUGA